RNAcentral lists this unclassified non-coding RNA (161 nucleotides) under uncultured Pseudeurotium. RNAcentral's name for it is "sequence contains ITS1". Lineage: Eukaryota; Fungi; Ascomycota; Leotiomycetes; Thelebolales; Pseudeurotiaceae. The record is from RNAcentral.
AAGAGACGUUGCCCUUCGGGGUAUACCUCCCACCCUUUGUUUAUCAUACCUUUGUUGCUUUGGCGGGCCCGUCUUCGGACCACCGGCUUUGGCUGGUCUGUGCCCGCCAGAGGACCCCAAACUCUGUUUGUUAGUGUCGUCUGAGUACUAUAUAAUAGUUA